RNAcentral lists this ribosomal RNA (496 nucleotides) under uncultured bacterium. RNAcentral describes it as "partial 16S ribosomal RNA". It matches the Rfam family "Bacterial small subunit ribosomal RNA", at positions 30 to 523 of the family's 1533-position model. The record is from RNAcentral.
AUUGAACGCUGGCGGAAUGCUUUACACAUGCAAGUCGAACGGUAGAGGGGGCAACCCCUCGAGAGUGGCGAACGGGUGAGUAAUAUAUCGGAACGUGCCCAGUCGUGGGGGAUAACGUAGCGAAAGUUACGCUAAUACUGCAUACGAUCGAAGGAUGAAAGCGGGGGAUCGCAAGACCUCGCGCGAUGGGAGCGGCCGAUAUCAGAUUAGGUAGUUGGUGGGGUAAAGGCUCACCAAGCCAACGAUCUGUAGCUGGUCUGAGAGGACGACCAGCCACACUAGAACUGAGACACGGUCCAGACUCCUACGGGAGGCAGCAGUGGGGAAUUUUGGACAAUGGACGCAAGUCUGAUCCAGCCAUUCCGCGUGCAGGAUGAAGGCCCUCGGGUUGUAAACUGCUUUUGUACGGAACGAAAAGGUCUCUCUUAAUACGGGGGGCUCAUGACGGUACCGUAAGAAUAAGCACCGGCUAACUACGUGCCAGCCGCCGCCGUAA